UACGAAGGGGGCUAGCGUUGCUCGGAAUCACUGGGCGUCAAGCGCACGUAGGCGGCUUUUUAAGUCAGGGGUGAAAUCCUGGAGCUCAACUCCAGAACUGCCUUUGAUACUGAGAAGCUUGAGUCCGGGAGAGGUGAGUGGAACUGCGAGUGUAGAGGUGAAAUUCGUAGAUAUUCGCAAGAACACCAGUGGCGAAGGCGAGUCUCUGGACAGCAACUGACGCUGAGGCACGAAGGCCAGGGGAGCAAACGGG
RNAcentral lists this ribosomal RNA (253 nucleotides) under uncultured bacterium. Its description in RNAcentral is "partial 16S ribosomal RNA". It matches the Rfam family "Bacterial small subunit ribosomal RNA", at positions 524 to 776 of the family's 1533-position model. The record is from RNAcentral.